Molecule: non-coding RNA, 29 nt
Filed under: Rattus norvegicus (Norway rat)
Lineage: Eukaryota; Metazoa; Chordata; Mammalia; Rodentia; Muridae
Source: RNAcentral
CACAACAGUUAGGGCAGUUUCUCAAUAGA